UGCAGAUCCUACUACUAUCUUGGACCUAAUGAACUGAAAUUAAUAUCUCUUUUCUCUGGUUUAGGUUCAGAUCACCUACACCCGCAAGAACGGUAUGAAGUGUCUCCGUGUCAUGUGCAAGAGCCACAAGUUCACCAAGGACAGGAAGGUGAUGGAAGAGAACAUCAACGUGGCAGUUGUUGGAUUAGCCACGAUGCAGAAGACAGCUGAGAUGACAAA
Haliotis rubra (blacklip abalone) is the source of this 219-nucleotide long non-coding RNA. RefSeq lists it as uncharacterized. NCBI's taxonomy places the organism in Eukaryota, Metazoa, Mollusca, Gastropoda, Lepetellida, Haliotidae. The record is from RefSeq and is a predicted model, not a curated record. The transcript has 2 exons.